This 451-nucleotide ribosomal RNA is filed under the name uncultured bacterium. RNAcentral describes it as "partial 16S ribosomal RNA". It matches the Rfam family "Bacterial small subunit ribosomal RNA", at positions 29 to 523 of the family's 1533-position model. The record is from RNAcentral.
AGCGAACGCUGGCGGCAGGCUUAACACAUGCAAGUCGAGCGGGCGUAGCAAUACGUCAGCGGCAGACGGGUGAGUAACGCGUGGGAACGUGCCCUUUGGUUCGGAACAACACAGGGAGACUUGUGCUAAUACCGGAUAAGCCCUUACGGGGAAAGAUUUAUCGCCGAAGGAUCGGCCCGCGUCUGAUUAGCUUGUUGGUGAGGUAACGGCUCACCAAGGCUACGAUCAGUAGCUGGUCUGAGAGGAUGAUCAGCCACACUGGGACUGAGACACGGCCCAGACUCCUACGGGAGGCAGCAGUGGGGAAUAUUGGACAAUGGGGGCAACCCUGAUCCAGCCAUCCCGCGUGAGUGAUGAAGGCCCUAGGGUUGUAAAGCUCUUUCGGCGGGGAAGUUAAUGACGGUACCCGCAUAAGAAGCCCCGGCUAACUUCGUGCCAGCAGCCGCAGUAA